AAUCCGCGCCAGCUUCGAGGUGACCCGCCGGCCUUCCGCCGACCGGGUUGAAACGGGAAGCCGGUGACGCGCCAUAGCGCCAGUCCGGCACUGCCCCCGCAACGGUAAGCGCGUGCAAGCGUCGCAUCCGCCACUGUGCCCCAGGCACGGGAAGGCGCGACGCCCGGGAGCGAUCCCACGCGCGAGUCCGGAGACCGGCCACGGAGUCUUCUUCGAU
RNAcentral lists this non-coding RNA (217 nucleotides) under Xanthomonas sp. Lineage: Bacteria; Pseudomonadati; Pseudomonadota; Gammaproteobacteria; Lysobacterales; Lysobacteraceae. The record is from RNAcentral.